GCUGGUGUAGCAUAAUUGGCUAAUGCACCCGAUUUGUAAUCGGACGAUUGGGGGUUCAAGUCCCUCCUCCAGCA
This 74-nucleotide transfer RNA is filed under the name Pyrinomonadaceae bacterium. RNAcentral describes it as "tRNA-Thr". It matches the Rfam family "tRNA". From Rfam's summary of the family: Transfer RNA (tRNA) molecules are approximately 80 nucleotides in length. Their secondary structure includes four short double-helical elements and three loops (D, anti-codon, and T loops). Further hydrogen bonds mediate the characteristic L-shaped molecular structure. tRNAs have two regions of fundamental functional importance: the anti-codon, which is responsible for specific mRNA codon recognition, and the 3' end, to which the tRNAs corresponding amino acid is attached (by aminoacyl-tRNA synthetases). tRNAs cope with the degeneracy of the genetic code in two manners: having more than one tRNA (with a specific anti-codon) for a particular amino acid; and 'wobble' base-pairing, i.e. permitting non-standard base-pairing at the 3rd anti-codon position. The record is from RNAcentral. Lineage: Bacteria; Pseudomonadati; Acidobacteriota; Blastocatellia; Blastocatellales; Pyrinomonadaceae.